RNAcentral lists this non-coding RNA (261 nucleotides) under Coprococcus eutactus. RNAcentral describes it as "T-box sequence". It matches the Rfam family "T-box leader". From Rfam's summary of the family: Uncharged tRNA acts as the effector for transcription antitermination of genes in the T-box leader family. The record is from RNAcentral. Lineage: Bacteria; Bacillati; Bacillota; Clostridia; Lachnospirales; Lachnospiraceae.
AUAAAGGCAAAGACAGGAAGGAGUACUUAAGUCACUGUUACUUCAGAGAGUAGGCGUUUGGUGCGAGCCUAUAGGACACCUUAAGGAAGCAGUCCCCGAGCUGUGACCGCGAAAGAUUUUGAAUCAUUGGUAUUGAUUUUAAGUAGUGGUCAACGGAAGGUUCCACGUUAUAGGAACAACGAUAGUGAUGGCUGUCGGCUGAGAGCAGGAACAAGUUCCUGAAUUUAGGUGGUAACACGGACAAGAAAGUUCGCCCUAAGC